CUCAUGGACGAAAGCCAGGGGAGCGAAAGGGAUUAGAUACCCCUGUAGUCCUGGCCGUAAACGAUGAACACUAGGUGUCGGGGGAAUCGACCCCUUCGGUGUCGUAGCUAACGCGUUAAGUGUUCCGCCUGGGGAGUACGCACGCAAGUGUGAAACUCAAAGGAAUUGACGGGGGCCCGCACAAGCGGUGGAGUAUGUGGUUUAAUUCGAUGCAACGCGAAGAACCUUACCAGGGUUUGACAUCCUGCGAACCUCUUAGAAAUUUGAGGGCGCCUUCGGGAAUGCAGUGACAGGUGGUGCAUGGCUGUCGUCAGCUCGUGUCGUGAGAUGUUGGGUUAAGUCCCGCAACGAGCGCAACCCACGUUUUUAGUUGCCAGCAUUUAGUUGGGCACUCUAGAAAGACCGCCGGUGAUAAACCGGAGGAAGGUGUGGAUGACGUCAAGUCAUCAUGCCCCUUACACCCUGGGCUACACACGUACUACAAUGCUACGGACAAAGGGCAGCAAACUCGCGAGAGCUAGCAAAUCCCAUAAACCGUGGCUCAGUUCAGAUCGUAGGCUGCAACUCGCCUACGUGAAGUAGGAAUCGCUAGUAAUCGCAGGUCAGCAUACUGCGGUGAAUACGUUCCCGGGCCUUGUACACACCGCCCGUCACACCAUGGAAGUUGGCCAUGCCCGAAGUCGUUACUCCAACCCUUGUGGAGGAGGACGCCGAAGGUGGGGCUAAUGAGUGGGGUGAAGUCGUAACAAGGUAACCGUA
Molecule: ribosomal RNA, 759 nt
Filed under: uncultured bacterium
Lineage: Bacteria
Description: bacterial SSU rRNA
Rfam family: Bacterial small subunit ribosomal RNA
Source: RNAcentral